This 301-nucleotide ribosomal RNA is filed under the name uncultured bacterium. RNAcentral's name for it is "partial 16S ribosomal RNA". It matches the Rfam family "Bacterial small subunit ribosomal RNA", at positions 509 to 807 of the family's 1533-position model. The record is from RNAcentral.
CAGCCGCCGCGGUAAGACGAACCGUGCGAACGUUAUUCGGAAUUACUGGGCUUAAAGCGCGUGUAGGCGGGCCGGCACGUCCGUCGCUGAAAUCCCACGGCUCAACCGUGGAAGUGGCGUGGAUACGACCGACCUCGAGGGGGGUAGGGGGACCUGGAACUUCCGGUGGAGCGGUGAAAUGCGUUGAGAUCGGAAGGAACGCCCGUGGCGAAAGCGAGGUCCUGGACCCUUUCUGACGCUGAGACGCGAAAGCCAGGGGAGCGAACGGGAUUAGAUACCCCGGUAGUCCCUGUCUCUUAUA